This is a long non-coding RNA of Bradysia coprophila, 148 nucleotides long. The record is from RefSeq and is a predicted model, not a curated record. Lineage: Eukaryota; Metazoa; Arthropoda; Insecta; Diptera; Sciaridae.
UUGGUUGAAAUUUGACUAAAUCGGUUAAAUUUGCAUUUAAAAUGUUUGUCGAUUUAUUUGACUGGAUCUGCGUUGGGUAAUCAAAAUUCCAGAUCAUAAGAAUUGUUCGGCUCGUUCCAAGUUUUUUUUUACAAUAAGAAUCAGAUUU